UUAAUUGAAGAGUUUGAUCAUGGCUCAGAUUGAACGCUGGCGGCAGGCCUAACACAUGCAAGUCGAGCGGCAGCACAGAGGAACUUGUUCCUUGGGUGGCGAGCGGCGGACGGGUGAGUAAUGCCUGGGAAAUUGCCCGGUAGAGGGGGGAUAACCAUUGGAAACGAUGGCUAAUACCGCAUAACCUCGCAAGAGCAAAGCAGGGGACCUUCGGGCCUU
Molecule: ribosomal RNA, 219 nt
Filed under: Vibrio cholerae
Lineage: Bacteria; Pseudomonadati; Pseudomonadota; Gammaproteobacteria; Vibrionales; Vibrionaceae
Also listed under: 1 other name
Description: partial 16S ribosomal RNA
Rfam family: Bacterial small subunit ribosomal RNA
Source: RNAcentral